This is a long non-coding RNA of Rhagoletis pomonella (apple maggot), 2468 nucleotides long. RefSeq lists it as uncharacterized. Lineage: Eukaryota; Metazoa; Arthropoda; Insecta; Diptera; Tephritidae. The record is from RefSeq and is a predicted model, not a curated record. The transcript has 3 exons.
ACUACUUUCAGUUGAUUUCAACUAGUUUUUUCAUAUUCCGAACCCACAGCAGUACCCAGCAGUGUCGGUGCAUCGCCCCAGUAGCAAUCGGCAAAUUUUGAUUUAACUACUUUCAAUUGAUUUCAACUAGGUUUUUCAUAUUCCGGACCACCAGCAGUACCCAGCAGUGUCGGUGCAUCGCCCUAGUAGCAAUCGGCAAAAGAGUGGUCAUUAUAUUUAUUUGUAUUGAAAGUGACUUGAUGACAGAAAAAUGAAAACUGCAAUUUUAGAGGAAGCAGCUUGUUUGGCAGGUGCGCAGAUGGUGGCAAUGAUUGCAGAGGUAACGAAAACUUAUUCUCAACGCGAGAAAGUGGAUCCGUUUUUGCAGGAAAGAUGUACACAGGGGCGUUUUGCAAAGGAUUUUGAAGAUCUCGUUAGCAGUGAAAGCAGAUUUUUCACAUGGACCUGAGAAGUUUCAACGAGUUGUACGCGCUAGUUUAGGGAUGUUUGAAACGCCACCGCUGACGUCACGACAUAACACGUUCUAACAUGCAGCGAAUGCGUUACAGAUACAACCAGUAUCAGGCAGCGAGCCAAAUGGAAUUUCCCAAAAUAAAACAAAGAUAAACAUGAAACAAUAGACAAAUACUAGUAAACAAGCUGAACAACAGAUAAAGACUAGUAAACAAACUAAACAAAUGACAAAUACUAGUAAACAAGCUGAACAACAGAUAAAGACUAGUAACCAACUAGCAAUAGAAUUUUCCACUGCGAUAACCACCGCCGCAUUUCAAUAGUAUAAAUAGACCUAAAAAUUUAAAAUGUAGAGCAGUCUUAAGAAUAUGUAAAUAAAGAAAGCACGCUAACCGUGCAGAGAAAACAUAUAUUUUUUGAACUCAUAUCGUGUAAACGAUAUUAACUGGGGGCUCAACCGGGAUCACAAUAAGUUUUGUCAUCUAAAACCAAAAUCCUUGAAAUACAGGAAACCAUAAAUUCCACGGUCUUGAAGAAAGAAAAAAACAGUUUCUGGAAAAGUAAAAUAACACAACCAUUCCUAAAAAACGGAACAAUAAAAAAUUUCGAAGAAGUCCAUGCGAUUCCUAUCUUAUAAUUCUACCAAACGACUACGAAGUGCUAACAAACCCCAUUUCUCCUCUUUAAGAUAUCAAAGAAGUGGAGACACAACAAAUAUGGCCGAAGAAGCACAACUAAGAGCACAAAUUGAUGCCUUAACACAACAGUUCCAACAACAAACCCUGCAAGUAAAUGCCCUGCAACAGGUGCCUAGUACUGUAAAAGAAAACCAAAGCGCCUUCCACAAUAUCACCACCAAUACAGAACACGAGGAGAUCCCUCUUGCAAUAACAAAUGCCAACGAAAUCGAUUUGGAGCUAUUCAAAGCUUUACCCAAGUUUGAAGGGGGAAAUAAACGCGUAUCGUUCAUGGAGAUCACAAGUCUGGAAGUUUACGGAUGACAUCAAAGCGUUCACAGGACAACCUAGAUAUUAUAGUGCAGUGGGGAUCAUCCGUAUAAAAGUGAUAGGAACAGCAGCCGACAUACUUAGCAAUCACAACACUAAUUAUAGGUUUUCGUUUAUGUGUUAUUAGACGAGAUGAAAAAAAUUUAUCAAGGAAGAAAGAAUUUAUCCGAAUACCAUAGCGAAAUUGAUAAAACACUUAACUUUACGCUUUCAAAAAUUUAAAUGUCUCAUGAGCAAAACGAUGAAGCCAUGAAAACAUAUGCAAGCCAAGAAGCUGUUCGUACAUUCAUUAUGGGACUGAAUAGCAGAUACACAAGUGGAACCUUGUACAGCCAAAACCCAAGAGACGUAGGGCAUGCGUAUGCUAUUGCCAGCACAAUUCACCACGAUAACCAUAAUCAGCAAUUUGAAAUGCAACCAAGAUAUGCCCAACAAACAAGAAGCCACCCGCAACCAGGGUAUGUCCAACAAACAAGAAGCCACCCAGGAGAAGAACGCUUCCCUUAACGAAAUGAACGCCCAACAUAUAAUCCAGGGAUACAUGUGCAACGCAACAAAUUUAUUCCACACAACGACCGUUUAAAUAAACCGAUACCUAUAGAAGUGGACAGCUCUAGGCAGUUUAUGCGGCAUACUCAACACCAACAGGGAUAUCAGAAUCCUUUCAAAAGGGAAAGAAACCCAUCCUCACACAACUUCAAUCAAUACAAGCAGCAGAGGAUCAACCAAACUCAUCAAACUGAAGCCGAAUCUACCACAUCUCAUUUCGAGGAACAGUACGAGACCGGAAGUACUUUUUUAGGCGAGUGAACGGGCUGCCCUGCAUUCAAACAAAGUGCGGUCUUACAGGGACACCCGUUACUAUUUUAAUAGACACAAGAUCUACGAACAAUUAUAUAAGUAUCAACUGUAACAUUGGUAAGUCAGUACCUAUUAAACCUAUAAAAACAAAAACUAUGCACGGAUAUUCAUUAUUGAAAUCUAAAAAAAUUAUAGCUUUGUUUAGUC